This 317-nucleotide long non-coding RNA is filed under the name Brassica napus (rape). RNAcentral's name for it is "long non-coding RNA (BNAP_LNC016729)". Lineage: Eukaryota; Viridiplantae; Streptophyta; Magnoliopsida; Brassicales; Brassicaceae. The record is from RNAcentral.
UGGACUGAUCCCAUGUGUUGAUGGUUGGGUUUGAUUUAUUUUUAUCUGUUUUCGGCCGAGUGUGGCCUUUUAAAUUUUGAUUUCGCUAGGGCCUAGAUGGCCGUAUUUGUAUUUACCGGGACUGGCCGUUAGUGGCUUUGAAUCCCCUACCGCUCUGCGGCUUAUAUAUUAUGAAUGUUUGAAGAGUUUCAGUUUGCGUAUGUGUUUAAAUUGUCGAGAGAAAAGAAUAUGAGUUGUCAUCUCAUACCUAACUCAUAGUGUAGCGUUCUUUCGUCUGUUCGUAAAAGAUGCAGAAUUUUGUGAACGUUUAGACACGA